UCUAUGUAGUUGCUUUCUACAGUACGAAAGGACCUAGAAAACAGGACCCAUGCCAACAGCACGUCCUUACUCCAUAGGCUGAUCUAAACUAAAGCCUAACAUAAACCAAAAUUAAACCCGAAGAUAUACGGGCU
RNAcentral lists this ribosomal RNA (134 nucleotides) under Phrynosoma cornutum. RNAcentral's name for it is "partial 16S large subunit ribosomal RNA". The record is from RNAcentral. Lineage: Eukaryota; Metazoa; Chordata; Lepidosauria; Squamata; Phrynosomatidae.